GCUGGGAUUACAGGCAUAAGCCACCAUGCCCGGCCAACAGUCAUGAUCUUUUCAAGGUUGUUUGUAAGAAGCCCACUUAGAAACGAUGAAACUUCUGACUCCAGAUGGAUGCCAAUUCAAAAGACAAGCCCCCUGGAACCAAGGAGUCUGCAAUGAAUAAUGCUGGAAACACCUCUUUCAUUUUGGGAACUGGGAAGACUAAUUCCUCAGAAGCAUGCCAAAUUACCUCCUAAUCCUUGCAUACCAGAUACUUUUAAAUCGCCUUUGAACUUUUCCACAGUAACCAUAGAGUAAUUGGGAAUUACACCCGAAAGCUUUGUUAGGAAUUCUACAGGAAAGUCAUCAUCAUACCUUAAAGAAUUCAGAAGACGUUCUGCAGUUGGGGUGCGGGGCUCUCCUGAAACAAACCAUCUAAUUCGUUUCAUUGCUCAGCAGCAAAAUAUAAAUAAUGGUAGGAAAUCUCCUUUGGCACAAGAUUCUCCUUCCCAGGGCAGCCCUGCACUGUAUCGAAAUUUUAACACUUUAAGAGAACGAAUAUCCACCUUCCAGUCAGCUUUUCACUUCAUAAGGGAAAACGAGAAAAUGACUGGCCGUCCAGAAUUCUCACAGGCAGGAAGGGUGUCCGAGGUGACAGACUUGACCAGAAAGGCAGAUCUUAGUGCAUGCCAGCAGUCUGAGUUCCCUGCAGUGUUGUCCUCCAAAUGUCAGAGAAUAUCCUAUCAGAGGGACUUUGAUGAAAAUCUAAUGGAUGCUGAAGGAAAAGCAACUGAUCUCCAGAUAUUCAAUGAUGAUACAGACAGAAGAUGUGCAGUUGAAACUUCUGCAGAUCUUUCUGAGAAAUCAUCUAAACCUGGUUCAACACAGUCUGGAUUUUUAGUUGAAAAGUUUUCCCCUUUCAGAGCUCACAGAGACUUCAAAUGCACUCAAGAUUGCUGACUGCAUAAGGAUCAAGCGAUGCCAUUUCACCUGACACGUUCACAGCAGAAGUGAGCUCAGACACAGUCCCUGAUGUCAAGGCACCAGCUACUCCAGUGUGCAGGAAGGACCUUCCCUCCCCUGAGACCUUUGUACUUCUCUCUGUUCUGAAGAAACCCUCUGUCAAGAUGUGUCUAGAGAGCUUAUAGGAACACUGUAACAACCUCUGUGAUGAUGAUGAUGGGACUCACCCAAGCAUAAUCUCAAAUCUCACAAACUGCUGCAAAGAUAGAGAAGUGGAAGAUGAAGAAAAGUUGGAAGCACCGGCCUUCCUAAAUAUGAGGAAGAGGAAGAGAGUUACUUUUGGAGAGAAGUUAAGCCCAGAAGUGUUUGAUGAAUCUUUGCCAGCAAAUACUCCAUUGUGUAAAGGAGGAAACUCUUUGUAAAAAGGACUUCAGUGGUCUCAGUUCCCCGCUGCUUGAGCAGUCACCAGUUCCUGAGCCAUUACCUCAGUCAGAUUUUGACAACAAAGGAGAGAGUCUUGAAAACAUAGAACCACUUCAAGUAUCAUCUGCUGUUCUGAGUUCUAAUAAGGCAUCAAUCUCUGAGACUCGUUGAGGCACUGACACCUUUAGUUCUUCAAAUAACCAUGAGAAAAUAUCGUCUAACAGAAGAAAUCAGUUGGUCAGUUUUGUAGAAGAGAGUGUUUGCAACUUACUAAAUACAGAAGCUCAGCCUUGUAAAGAAAAAAUAAUUAAUAGGAGGAAGUCUCAAGAAACAAAGUGUACAAAGAGAGCACUUCCUAAGAAUCAGGUUUUAAAAAGUUGCAGAAAGAAGAAAGGAAAGGGAAAGAAAAGUGUUCAGAAGUUUUUUAUAUCGGGGAAGAGCCUUUGCUUCUAAGAAGUCCCUCUUCAGUCCUAUUCCUAAGCUGCCUGAAGUCUCUGAGAUGAUACCUUCAGUUCCAAGUGUCCAAAGACUGGGUUCAGGAUAUUUCAAAUCAAAUGGCAAACUGGAAUAAGUGAAGGCUCCUAAAAAUCCAGUGGAAAAAAAGGAUCUUUUCCCUCAGGACCCAGAUUUGCAUAUGCAUCAAGGCUUUGGUAAAUAUAAUGUGUCUGAAUUCUCCUCAUACAUAAAAAGUUUCUAAUUGCUUGGUAAUGCUACUUCUGAUGAAGAUCUAAAUACAAAUAUGAUGAACAUUGAUGACAAUAAAAAUAUUCCAAAAGCAAAAAAUAUGUCAGAAAGUGAAAAUGAACCCAAAGCUGGAACUGAGGGUCCUAUUUCUUGUGCUUCUGUAACAGAACACGUGGCAUUAGAGAGUCCCAAACCUGCUCUGAUCCUGCAGCAGGGUCAAGAGUUUGCUGCUGCUGUUCAAAAUGCAGAAAACCUUUGUCAAAUCUUUAAAAUUUCACUAGAUCUAAACAUAAAGUGUGAAAGACAAGAUGACUUCUUAGUAGCUGCAGAAGGAAAACUGCAAUGCAGUCAUUUAAUGCCUAACUCACAAAAAGACUGUCAUUGUUUAGGAGAUGUCUUAAUUGAAAACAUGAAAGAAUCUAAAAGCGGAAGAAUACCCAUGGAAAGUAGCAGCGUUAUGAGUAGCAGAGACAGGAAACAUAGAAGACGCUCCAUGUAUUAUUCUGAUGGUCAAAGUUUACAUUUGGAAAAAAUGGAAAUCACACACCCUCCUACAGUGUAAGCAGCUCUUUAGACAUUAGUUUAGAAAAUUCUGAACUAUGUAAAUAUUUGUCUGACACCAUUGAACAAAUCUUUCAGAGGAGGAAUAGUGAAACCACAGUGUGACGUAGCAUGAGGCUACAGAAGGAUUUGGAAAAUGAAGGGCUUUGUGGAUUUCACUUCCACUUCCUUCCACUUCCCACAAAGCCAAAAGAACAGCAGUGAUUUUGGUAGUAUGUCUCCCAGAAAAGAAACUGUCCUCCAGACAAACCAGGAUGGCACCUCCCAUCUCAGAUCAAGAAAACAGCCAGGGCCCUGCUGCUGGUUUUCUGAUGAACCUGGUAAGAGGAGGAAGAGCUUCUGUGCGUCUACAUUUGCAAAUACUAAAGCCGCUUCCCAGUACAAGGGCUACCGGAGAAGAUCCUCUCUCAAUGGGAAGGGAGAGAGCUCUCUGACUGCCUUGGAAAGGAUUGACCAUAGCGGAGAAAGAAAACAAUAACUGACAUUUCCUGCAAAGCCUGUGGCAAGAGGGAAAGUAACCAUCUAUGCUGAAAUGAUCUGUCUAGUUCCCAUCCUCUGUUCAACUCGGUGUUUAAAAAGUUCCUAAUAAAUAAACUCAUUUGAGUUGAACC
Molecule: non-coding RNA, 3218 nt
Organism: Callithrix jacchus (white-tufted-ear marmoset)
Lineage: Eukaryota; Metazoa; Chordata; Mammalia; Primates; Cebidae
Source: RefSeq, a predicted model, not a curated record